Molecule: ribosomal RNA, 424 nt
Filed under: uncultured bacterium
Lineage: Bacteria
Description: partial 16S ribosomal RNA
Rfam family: Bacterial small subunit ribosomal RNA
Source: RNAcentral
AAUAUUAGACAAUGGGCGAAAGCCUGAUCCAGCCAUGCCGCGUGUGUGAAGAAGGUCUUCGGAUUGUAAAGCACUUUAAGUUGGGAGGAAGGGGUUGAAGCUAAUACCUUCAAUCUUUGACGUUCCCAACAGAAUAAGAACCGGCUAACUCUGGGCCAGCACCCGGGGUAAUACAGAGGGUGCAAGCGUUAAUCAGAAUUACUGGGCGUAAAGCGCGCGUAGGUGGUUCAGUAAGAUGGAAGUGAAAUCCCCGGGCUUAACCUGGGAACUGCUUUCAUAACUGCUGAGCUAGAGUACGGUAGAGGGUAGUGGAAUUUCCUGUGUAGCGGUGAAAUGCGUAGAUAUAGGAAGGAACACCAGUGGCGAAGGCGACCACCUGGGCUAAUACUGACACUGAGGUGCGAAAGCGUGGGGAGCAAACAGG